Molecule: long non-coding RNA, 276 nt
Organism: Cyprinodon tularosa
Lineage: Eukaryota; Metazoa; Chordata; Actinopteri; Cyprinodontiformes; Cyprinodontidae
Exons: 3
Source: RefSeq, a predicted model, not a curated record
CAGUGGGGCGAUAAUGGAUUCGAGCUGCCGUUGAAAUAUAAAGAAGAAGAAGCGUCUUUGUGCCACUAGCUCAGAUUGGGUGCAGCAUUAGCUGAAAUUUGUUCUCGUUGUGGUUUUUCAUCUAGCUAUUCAAAACGUCGUACGCAAUGAGAGGAGACCGCGGCAGAGGCCGGGGGGGGCGCUUUGGUGGCCGCGGAGGACUGAUCCAGGGGUACCGCCCGUUUGUCCCACACAUUCCAUUUGAUUUUUAUGUGGUAAGUGAUUAUUGUGCCAAAG